UGAGUAACCUGCCCCAAACUCUGGGAUAAACACUGGAAACGGUGUCUAAUACCGGAUAUGAACUUCAGCCGCAUGGCUAGGAGUUGGAAAGAAUUUCGGUUUGGGAUGGACUCGCGGCCUAUCAGCUAGUUGGUGAGGUAAUGGCUCACCAAGGCGACGACGGGUAGCCGGCCUGAGAGGGUGACCGGCCACACUGGGACUGAGACACGGCCCAGACUCCUACGGGAGGCAG
This 232-nucleotide ribosomal RNA is filed under the name uncultured bacterium. RNAcentral's name for it is "partial 16S ribosomal RNA". It matches the Rfam family "Bacterial small subunit ribosomal RNA", at positions 118 to 351 of the family's 1533-position model. The record is from RNAcentral.